RNAcentral lists this unclassified non-coding RNA (574 nucleotides) under Rhizopus sp. RT-2012. RNAcentral's name for it is "sequence contains 18S rRNA gene, ITS1, 5.8S rRNA gene, ITS2 and 28S rRNA gene". The record is from RNAcentral. Lineage: Eukaryota; Fungi; Mucoromycota; Mucoromycetes; Mucorales; Rhizopodaceae.
UGUACUUUGAUUCCCUGGGCGAACCAAAGAAAAAGAUCCUGAGACCAGCGUAAUAUUCCUGCCUAGCAAGCUAAACAGAAAAUCACACACAUUUUAGGUGCUCACUGUAAUAAAACAGCGAUGCGACCCAUUACCACAUAAACAAAUGUUAUGUGUGGGUUUGUGAUGAUACUGAAGCAGGCGUACUCUAUAGAAAAACCAUAGAGUGCAAGCUGCGUUCAAAGACUCGAUGAUUCACUGAAUAUGCAAUUCACACUAGUUAUCGCACUUUGCUACGUUCUUCAUCGAUGCGAGAACCAAGAGAUCCAUUGUUAAAAGUUGUUUUUAUUAAACUUUAUAAUACUGAAUUUCUAGGUUUAUUAUGAAGGGUGCUCCUGGAAACCCAGGAGUGGCAUCAAUCAAAACUCCAGAUAGGUCUACCCAUGACCAGUCUGAGUCUCUCAGCCAAAUUUUCACAGUUGUAGAAGCAAUCACUUAACCCCAGGGAAACCCUGAUGGUAAGGCGGCUUUAACAUAAUUAAUAAUCCUUCCGGCAGGUUCACCUACGGAAACCUUGGUUACGACCUUUUUACUU